Molecule: long non-coding RNA, 6416 nt
Organism: Gavialis gangeticus (Gharial)
Lineage: Eukaryota; Metazoa; Chordata; Crocodylia; Gavialidae
Exons: 2
Source: RefSeq, a predicted model, not a curated record
UUAGGUGUAGAGUAUUGACCCAGAGUGGGGAAGGAUUUUGUACAAGCCAUCUGCUGAUAUUUGUUAUGCUGAUGCAAAUGUUUGUUUAGACCUGGAGGACAGGAUUGUGGCUAUGGAGGAGACGAGGAGGACACAGAGGGGUGCCUGGUAGGGCACUCGGCAUUAGGCAGCUCAGUCCAGGGUCUGGAACCAGAGGGCCAAGGGUAGAGACAGUGAGGGUGGCCUAGUCUGGGUCAAUGGCCCUGAGGACUGGGGUCAGGAGCCCAGAGUGAGAGGCAAGGGCAUGGACCCAGAAGCAGAGGUCCAGGACAGUGGAACUUGGGGCAGGGUCUUGUCAUGCUACAGUGUCCCCUUUUGGUAUCAGAAGAAGCUAAAGAUAUUAAUGUCAUUUAUGUUUUUGAAAGCCUACUUUGGCACUGAAAUAGUGAAAAAAUUUCAGUGCCGAAAUUGCCAGGGUCUUAAAGUUUAUUAUUCAGACUGGAGUCAUUGAAAAGUAUUUGUUCCUUAGCAAACUUAGUGAGCCAUGAUGGGCCUAGUCAAUGAUUUUGCACUGAAUGUGAAAGCCAGGGUUUUUUUUUCAGUAUCAUAGUGAAACCUGUUGAAAUUAAGUAGUUAUGUUUUGAGGCUUUGGGCUUCCUUUAAUUCUGAAGUGAAAAGUAAAACCCAGGUUGAGAGGACAGAGAAAAAUGUCCCCCCAAAGUAAAAAUACAGGGCUGUCUACUUUCUAGUAAAUAGUGGAGAGAAGGUAGGGCCUGCAGGUAUCUAGCUGGACAUGCACAAGCAACGCUGACAUAGUUUGCAGUCACCUUUGCUUGUAAACCCCAGAGACUCUCUGUACUUGUGCUGCUCCAAAGGUUGUAGUUCUUCAUUUGGAAGAAGAGGAUUGCACUUCAGAAGAUAAUGCUGAUUUUGGUUGUCUUUUAGCAUUUGGCUGGAUUAGUUAUGAAAUCAGAAUUUUCUUUGGAAGUGUAGUUGACCAUUUAAACUCAACCAAUUCCUUUUUAUGAGCAUUUGUGCUAAAAAAAAGUUCCAGUGUUUGAACUAAGUAAAUAUAAAUGAUUGUGAAUCUGGAUCAGCUGAUGCCAAAUUUUUAAAAUAAAUAUUUGCAUCUAGGUUUCUCACUCCUGCACAGCUCUACUAGUGACACAAAGGAAAGAGGAAAGCGGCAUGUCAGACAGAUUUUUGGAUGAGAAAAAUCUGUGUUCAUGUCAAAUUUACAAGGAAACUAAUAAUGUUUACCCAUUUCCCAGUCUUAUCAAGAGCUGUGUAAUAUUAAAUAGGAUUUGAAUUGACAAAUGAGAUUUAAAAAUAUCAUCUUUUUCCAAAAUUUCAUAAUCAUAGAACACUAUAAAUGGAAAAAAAUCUAGUGUUAGUAAUCCAGUUAAAAGCACAGUAUAUUUGUUCAGUGUACAAAAAGCACCUACAAAUACAAACUGAAAUAUUGCUGGUAGAUUUGUUUCUUAAUAUGCAUAUAUUUCUUGCACCACUUGUAAAAUAAAUAAAUAAAUAGAAAAAAAUAAACCCUUUCCUUAACAAUGCAAAUCAAAUUGACCUUGUUGUUUAGAUUUCUUGUUGCAAAUAUCUUCCUAGUUAGUGUAUAAUUUAUAAUAGCCAGUAGAAGAAACUGCAAUAUAUUAGAACUUAGUGUGUACUGAAAUACUUUUCCUUCCUGUAACUUUUUCCCCAUCAGUACCAUUCUCUGAAAACUGAUUAGUAAAGAAAGAUAUAGGCUGAGAUGAUUAUAACGAUUUCCAUGAGGUGAAAAAAAAAAUCUUGCUGGAGUAUGUCAACUCAGUUAAUAAUAAACAUUAAAUGAUAGAAGAAACUUAUAUUUACAAACCAUCUCCUCAUGCUGCCAUGAAUUGCAUUAGAGAAUGGAUGCCAAGGGAAGUUGCUUAGAUUCCAAAUGCACAUGCAUAUAAAUGUGGGGUUGGACUAGUUCCAUCAGGGCUUUGAUUACAAUAUUUUCUCUCAUUCUUGCAGCUUUACAAAACUCUUGUUUGUUGUGUAAGAGAUAGAAUUUUUUGUAGGUUUUUUUUUUAAACCAGGAAGUUCCUUCAUAUUUUGAUUUUGGGACUAUAUCAGUUAAAACACUACGGAUGUACAACUCCUGCCUGAGUUCUUGGCUUUCUUGUCAGUUCUUCUGCCAUUGAGGUGCUCAGGACCAAGAUUGGUAUUCAGAUAAUGAAUGUCCAGUUGGCUUCAGUGAACAUCAGGACUCUUCAUCUUCAACAGACCGACAGGCAAUAUGAAACAGUCAUCAGUAUGUAUGUCUAACCCUUGAUGCAGAUGACAAAACAAAAGAAAAUUCUAUUGUAAAUCUGACCAAGUCCCCAAACAAGAUAAGAUAACUCUUCUCAAUGAUGUCAGUGCUAGCGUGGGAAGGGUCUCCAAGAUAUGGAGAGGAAGGGUGGAUGAUGCAUUCCACCAUAUCCAUCCAUAUUGCCCCAAAAUGAUAUAAGCAAAAGAAGCAACUAAGGAAGAGGCCUGAUAUCAAGUACUUCAAAUAUCCUGCUAAAAGUGAUUAUCUCCAAGAGUGGGACACUCUGAUCUCUGUGAUAAUCUUGACACCAUUUAUCACUGGCACAGCCUCAAGAAAGGCAUCCAUUAGGUAUGUGAAAAAUCUCUAGGCUUCUCCAUAAAGAAACAUCGGGACUGGUUUGAUGAAAAUGAUAGGGGAAUUCAAGCAUUCAUUGACAGAAAAAAAGCCUUAAAAGCUUGGCAAAAUGACACCAGAUCCAAACAGAAGACAGAAAUUUGUCAUUAUAUUAAAGCUGAAAUCCAGAGGAAAAUUUGAAAAUGAAAGAAAAAGUGGUGGGAGGACAAAGCAAAAGUGAUUCGAAAGUUUUCUGAUGACCAUGAUGUUCAUACUUUCCUCAGUGCAACCAUUAUUGUAAGACAAAAUCAUCAGUCUUCCCACAACAUCCCAUUAAGGACUACUUUGAAGAUCCACCAACUUAUAAAGAGGCCUUGAAAGCCACUGAGCAGAUGAAGAACAACAAAGCAUGUGAUCUUGAUGGAAUACCAGCUGAAAUUUAUAAGCAAGGUGGAAAAAAGCUCUCACGAAAUAUGCAUUAUUAUUAUGAAAGUCUGGAAACAUGAGAUUCACAGUGAUGCCAGAAUCAGUAUCCUAUUUAAGAUAUAUCAGACUGCAGCAAUUGAGGUAUUUCACUCCUAUCCAGAGCUGGGAAGAUCCUUGUCUGCAUUCUCCACAAUAGACUUAGUUUCCUCACUGAGAAGAUUUCACCCAAGUCCCAAGGUGGUUUGGACCACUCAGAGGUACAAUAGAUAUGAUCUUUGUUACUAGACAGCUGCAGGAGAAAUGCCACAAGCAACACUGAGAUCUUCACAGGGUCUUCACUGAACAAACUAAGCCCUUUGAUUCAAUCAACAGGGCUUCCCAAAUUGUUCUCUCAAAUGACCACCGGGCACCCAUAGUUACUGCCUUAUGGACUACUUGCAUGGCUCUGUUCUUACCCUACACCAUGCCCCAUGCCUUGCAGAUGGCAUCCUCAUUGAUGUUCUCUUCACUUAGCCCCUCCUCUUGGGGCUCCUGGACCCUAUCUGGUUCCAUGUUGCCCUCAAUAGGUUCCUGGACCCUCAUUGGUCCCAUACUCUCAGCCCCUCAAUCUGGGCUCUGGACCCUUCCCUGUGUCCCUAGGAACCUCCUCCUCCUCUUUGUUCCUCCCCAAACCUCCAGACUGCUUUAGGUAUUACCCUCCAUGUUGACCUUCUGGAGAUCUAGCCACCCUCUGAGGCAAUCAGUGUUCUCUCAGCAGGCUCCAAGCUGUUACUGCUGGCUCCACUCAGGCCCGGGCUUAUCUUCUACCUUAGCCCAGCCUUCCUGCAGGGUCAGAUGACUCCAUAAGCAACCCUGGCCACACCUGCAGGCUGCCCCAACACUAGCCUGCCUGCUGCUUAAAGUGGCAGAAACACCAAGCCUCUUGCCACAAUCUGUGCCCUGUUGCAUGGAGGUGAAACUUGGAUGAUAUAUCAGAAACACCUGAUAGUUCUGGAACAUUACCAUGGCAUAAGCAAUGUCUUUGGAAAAUUCUUUAUAUCAGCUGGGAGGACAGAAGAAUGAAUGUCAGCCUUCUGGCUCAAGCAAACACCACAAGCAUGGAAGUCAUGUUUGUGGCACCAACUCCAUUCAUCAGGAUGUCAUAAGGAUGCCUGACAACCUGCUCCCAAAACACAUCCUAUACUCUCAGUUCACUGGUGGUCAGCACUGUAGAGGUGGGCAAAAGAAGAGAUUUAAGGACACCUUAAAGAUCAAUCUGAAGAAAUGUGACAUUAACAACAAUACCUGGACACUCGAGCACUGAAUUGUCUGCAGUGGUGCCAUUUUACGAAUGAUCAAUGCUACAUCAUGUAUCCACCUCAUUAUGGAAGUGGAUACAUGAGAGAUAUAUAUAGAGAGAGUGAGCUGUGACCUAACAUAAUCAGGAUCUACUUUUUUCUCCCAGAACUGUUUGCCACACCUGCAGGUGAAUGUGCAAACCUCAUCAGAGUCCUUGGUGGGCUAUGGACUCAUUGGUGACUUUCCUAUUUACUGAAGAUUGUCAUCCUUCUAUCAAGAGACUACUGACAACAACAACAAAAAGCAAGACAAUAAAAAGGACCUUAAUGACAUCUGAUGAGUAAAGUUGUUUUGUAUUUGAAAGUAUUAUACAUAAAAAAAGAUUCCUGAGAAUUUGAUAUAAUUUCUCUUUUGAAUUAAAAACCAUAGAGAACUAUGAUUUAGACUAGCAAAAUUAUGUAAUGAAUAGUCUUAAUAAAUUCUAGCUCCUCCUAAACAGAUUACCAUGAAUUUGUAGUUGAAUGUUUGAUAAAUGAAGAGAGACAAAAUGUUCUACUUUUCAGCACAUUUUGAUCCACAGCUGGUGCACCGACUGUUACAGAGUGUAUAUUAGCUUUAGCUGUGAUUUUUCAAGCUAAAGUUUACUUUAUUUAGCUCUAUGGGUAUUUAAAAUUACUUGAAGUAAAUGUUUUAACAUUGGAAAAUGUUGCUUAAUGAGGACUUUGGCCCACCUGGAAAAUAUUAAUAUUACUCCUUGAUCCUGCAGUGCGAUCCUUUAUAGUCAUAUUUUGACCUGUGCUGUAGAAGCAUUAUAACCAGCCUGAUGAAAUGGCUUUUAUCUCCAUUUGGGUAGCUGUUCUAUUUCUGAUCCUAAAAAGUGAUGUGAGAAAGAGGUCUGCAUUUACCUGGCCUCUGCUUAGGGCCAGUGUGGCCCUUCUCUCAUGCAUUUCACAUUGUCAAACUUUAAUAUGCAUAACAGAAUAUAGGGUUAUUUAGGAGACUUCUAUGGUACAUUUGAUACACAGCACAAAUCUUCAGGAAAAAUUAAAAAAAUAUUGACUUAAAAUUUACAUAGACAUUUCAACAUUGUUUAAUAUAUUUGUAAAGCAUUUACUUCGGCACUUAUGAUAAAUUUUAAUAAAAUUUUUUACAGUUUGUUAAUGUGAAAAUAAAGAGCAAAUCAUGUUCACCUCACUAAAGUAAAGGUACAUAAGUACAUUAUUUAAUAGAGGCGCUUAAUUUAAUCUUUGUUAGGUCCCACUGAUGUAAUAUCUAAUCUCAGUUCUGUAACUGACUCACUGUGUGGUUCAGAGCAAGCUCUUUACCCACUGGCAGUGCUCCCAAAUGUAAAAUGGGAUAUUAUUAUUAAUUUACCUGCUGGUUGUAUUCUGAGGAAAAAAAUGGUUAAUGUUUGCACAGCAACUUGAAUUUGUACAGUGCUAUGCAAAUGCUAGCAUAUUGAAAGCAUUACUGUAAAGGAGUUCAGCAAAAAUGCUAUUUGCAUUACUGUAAAAUAAAGAGAUCAAGGUCCUUGCCAUUCUAAUUGAAACACCCAAGUUAAUUUAGUUGUUGUUAUUUAGAAGAGUCAUUCCUUUGUUUGGCAUAAAUAGAGUUUAUAGCCACUUGAGACGAAUAAUCAUCACUAAAGCAGAGUAAUUUGCUCCAGUUUGAUUAUGUCAGCAUAAACACAAUAGUGCUUCCAUUGAACACAUGACUUAAGACAUGGUAGUAUUUCCAUUGUAACCAUCUUUAUCAAAUGCCUAUAACAAAGAAGUUAAAAUUGCUCUGGGAUGCAAUUUAGUUUAUCACAGAUGUGCUGUACAAUUGGUUUUAUAUCUUUCUGCAGUUAAAGCUAAAACAUAGUUUCAAUUUUUAACAUUAUGAUUUCACAUUUGUGAUUGGUGUCAUGAGUUUUUGUUUAGAAUACAGUGCAACUGUAUCUUGUAUGGUGGCACAGUUAUGUAACAUUUUUAACAGUGUCUACUGCAUGGGGAAGCAACUCUUCAAUAGAUCUUUAUAUUUUGACACGUAUAUCAUAUGGAAUAUAUUAGAAAUUUCCUAAAUAUAUUUUUCUCAAUACAUUUCAAAAGACCAAAAUAAAAUUUUAAGCCUUGGA